UGCAAGUCGAACGAACUUAACCAUUAGUUUACUAUUGGAGCGGUUAGUGGCGGACUGGUGAGUAACACGUAAGCAACCUGCCUAUCAGAGGGGAACAACAGUUAGAAAUGACUGCUAAUACCGCAUAUGCCUUAGAAUCACAUGGUUCAAAAGGGAAAGGAGCAAUCCGCUGAUAGAUGGGCUUGCGUCUGAUUAGCUAGUUGGUGGGGUAACGGCCUACCAAGGCGACGAUCAGUAGCCGAACUGAGAGGUUGAACGGCCACAUUGGGACUGAGAUACGGCCCAGACUCCUACGGGAGGCAGCAGUCGGGAAUAUUGCGCAAUGGAGGAGACUCUGACGCAGUGACGCCGCGUGCAGGAAGAAGGUUUUCGGAUUGUAAACUGCUUUAGACAGGGAAGAACAAAGACAGUACCUGUAGAAUAAGCUCCGGCUAACUACGUGCCAGCAGCCGCGGUAAUACGUAGGGAGCGAGCGUUAUCCGGAUUUAUUGGGUGUAAAGGGUGCGUAGACGGGAAGUCAAGUUAGUUGUGAAAUCCCUCGGCUUAACUGAGGAACUGCAACUAAAACUGAUUUUCUUGAGUACUGGAGAGGAAAGUGGAAUUCCUAGUGUAGCGGUGAAAUGCGUAGAUAUUAGGAGGAACACCGGUGGCGAAGGCGACUUUCUGGACAGAAACUGACGUUGAGGCACGAAAGUGU
This 697-nucleotide ribosomal RNA is filed under the name uncultured bacterium. RNAcentral's name for it is "bacterial SSU rRNA". It matches the Rfam family "Bacterial small subunit ribosomal RNA", at positions 56 to 762 of the family's 1533-position model. The record is from RNAcentral.